Molecule: ribosomal RNA, 595 nt
Filed under: Apiospora arundinis
Lineage: Eukaryota; Fungi; Ascomycota; Sordariomycetes; Amphisphaeriales; Apiosporaceae
Description: eukaryotic LSU rRNA
Rfam family: 5.8S ribosomal RNA (bases 236-389)
Source: RNAcentral
GGAAGUAAAAGUCGUAACAAGGUCUCCGUUGGUGAACCAGCGGAGGGAUCAUUACAGAGUUAUACAACUCCCAUACCAUCUGUUAACCUACCCAGUUAUGCCUCGGCGUAAGCUCGGUUGGAGGCACCUGCAGCUACCCUGUAGUUGCGGACUGCCAACUCCAGCCGCGGCCCGCCGGCGGUACACUAAACUCUGUUUUAUUUUAUAUUCUGAGCGUCUUAUUUUAAUAAGUUAAAACUUUCAACAACGGAUCUCUUGGUUCUGGCAUCGAUGAAGAACGCAGCGAAAUGCGAUAAGUAAUGUGAAUUGCAGAAUUCAGUGAAUCAUCGAAUCUUUGAACGCACAUUGCGCCCAUCAGUAUUCUGGUGGGCAUGCCUGUUCGAGCGUCAUUUCAACCCUUAAGCCUAGCUUAGUGUUGGGAAUCUGCUGUACUGCAGUUCCUUAAAGACAGUGGCGGAGCGGCGGUAGUCCUCUGAGCGUAGUAAUUUAUUUCUCGCUUUUGUCAGGCUCUGUCCUCCCGCCAUAAAACCCCCAAUUUUUUAGUGGUUGACCUCGGAUCAGGUAGGAAUACCCGCUGAACUUAAGCAUAUCAAUA